GUACUCACUUCAGCAGCAAAUAUACUAAAAUUGGAAAGAUACAGAGAAUAUUAGCAUGGCCAUUGCAUAAGGAUGACACACAAAUUUAUAAAGUGUUCCAUAUUUUU
Molecule: small nuclear RNA, 107 nt
Filed under: Pteropus vampyrus (large flying fox)
Lineage: Eukaryota; Metazoa; Chordata; Mammalia; Chiroptera; Pteropodidae
Source: RNAcentral